Small nuclear RNA from Hyla sarda, 199 nucleotides. RefSeq annotates it as U2 spliceosomal RNA. The record is from RefSeq and is a predicted model, not a curated record. Lineage: Eukaryota; Metazoa; Chordata; Amphibia; Anura; Hylidae. The transcript has a single exon.
AAACCUUCUUGGCUUUUGAUGAAGAGUAAGUGUAGUGUCUGUUCUUAUCAGUUGGAUAUGUGAUACGUCUCUUAUCUUGGUACCAUGUAUUACAUGCUAUAUUUAUUGUUUUAUAGUUUAAACAAAAUACUUGUGCUUUGUGCAAGUUAUAUUUUGCAACAAGUUCUUCUGGAAUACAAGAAGAUUUUUGUGAUCUUCU